UGGCGGCGUGCCUAAUACAUGCAAGUCGAGCGGACAGAUGGGAGCUUGCUCCCUGAUGUUAGCGGCGGACGGGUGAGUAACACGUGGGUAACCUGCCUGUAAGACUGGGAUAACUCCGGGAAACCGGGGCUAAUACCGGAUGCUUGUUUGAACCGCAUGGUUCAAACAUAAAAGGUGGCUUCGGCUACCACUUACAGAUGGACCCGCGGCGCAUUAGCUAGUUGGUGAGGUAAUGGCUCACCAAGGCAACGAUGCGUAGCCGACCUGAGAGGGUGAUCGGCCACACUGGGACUGAGACACGGCCCAGACUCCUACGGGAGGCAGCAGUAGGGAAUCUUCCGCAAUGGACGAAAGUCUGACGGAGCAACGCCGCGUGAGUGAUGAAGGUUUUCGGAUCGUAAAGCUCUGUUGUUAGGGAAGAACAAGUGCCGUUCAAAUAGGGCGGCACCUUGACGGUACCUAACCAGAAAGCCACGGCUAACUACGUGCCAGCAGCCGCGGUAAUACGUAGGUGGCAAGCGUUGUCCGGAAUUAUUGGGCGUAAAGGGCUCGCAGGCGGUUUCUUAAGUCUGAUGUGAAAGCCCCCGGCUCAACCGGGGAGGGUCAUUGGAAACUGGGGAACUUGAGUGCAGAAGAGGAGAGUGGAAUUCCACGUGUAGCGGUGAAAUGCGUAGAGAUGUGGAGGAACACCAGUGGCGAAGGCGACUCUCUGGUCUGUAACUGACGCUGAGGAGCGAAAGCGUGGGGAGCGAACAGGAUUAGAUACCCUGGUAGUCCACGCCGUAAACGAUGAGUGCUAAGUGUUAUGGGGGUUUCCGCCCCCUUAGUGCUGCAGCUAACGCAUUAAGCACUCCGCCCUGGGGGAGUACGGUCGCAAGACUGAAAACUCAAAAGGAAUUGACGGGGGCCCGCACAAGCGGUGGGAGCAUGUUGGAUUUUAAUUCGAAGCAACGCGAAGAACCUUACCAGGUCUUGACAUCCUCUGACACCCCUAGAGAUA
Molecule: ribosomal RNA, 1000 nt
Filed under: Bacillus atrophaeus
Lineage: Bacteria; Bacillati; Bacillota; Bacilli; Caryophanales; Bacillaceae
Description: bacterial SSU rRNA
Rfam family: Bacterial small subunit ribosomal RNA
Source: RNAcentral